RNAcentral lists this ribosomal RNA (618 nucleotides) under uncultured bacterium. Its description in RNAcentral is "bacterial SSU rRNA". It matches the Rfam family "Bacterial small subunit ribosomal RNA", at positions 169 to 803 of the family's 1533-position model. The record is from RNAcentral.
CCGCAUAAGCCCACGACCCGGCAUCGGGUAGAGGGAAAAGGAGCAAUCCGCUUUGAGAUGGCCUCGCGUCCGAUUAGCUAGUUGGUGAGGUAACGGCCCACCAAGGCGACGAUCGGUAGCCGGACUGAGAGGUUGAACGGCCACAUUGGGACUGAGACACGGCCCAGACUCCUACGGGAGGCAGCAGUGGGGAAUAUUGCACAAUGGGGGAAACCCUGAUGCAGCGACGCCGCGUGGAGGAAGAAGGUCUUCGGAUUGUAAACUCCUGUUGUUGAGGAAGAUAAUGACGGUACUCAACAAGGAAGUGACGGCUAACUACGUGCCAGCAGCCGCGGUAAAACGUAGGUCACAAGCGUUGUCCGGAAUUACUGGGUGUAAAGGGAGCGCAGGCGGGAAGACAAGUUGGAAGUGAAAUCCAUGGGCUCAACCCAUGAACUGCUUUCAAAACUGCUUUUCUUGAGUAGUGCAGAGGUAGGCGGAAUUCCCGGUGUAGCGGUGGAAUGCGUAGAUAUCGGGAGGAACACCAGUGGCGAAGGCGGCCUACUGGGCACCAACUGACGCUGAGGCUCGAAAGUGUGGGUAGCAAACAGGAUUAGAUACCCUGGUAGUCCACACUGU